Talpa occidentalis (Iberian mole) is the source of this 135-nucleotide small nucleolar RNA. RefSeq annotates it as small nucleolar RNA SNORA75. The transcript has a single exon. The record is from RefSeq and is a predicted model, not a curated record. NCBI's taxonomy places the organism in Eukaryota, Metazoa, Chordata, Mammalia, Eulipotyphla, Talpidae.
AUCUUCUCGUGAGCUCCUUUCUGUCCAUCAGUGACAGUUUAUGGAUUCGCAAGAGAAGAAGAGCCAAUUCACAGCACUAGCACUGUUAUGCCUCUGUCUUCACAGAGGUAGACUCUGCUGUCCUGUGGGACAGGC